UUGGGAGGGGGCAGGAUGGGAGGGAAAGUAAAGAAAACAGAAAACGAGAGGGACAGACAGAGGCCAGAGGACUUCUCAUACCGGACAGAAACCGAUCAGGCAUGGAACUCCCCCUCGUCACUCACCUGUUCUUGCCCCUGGUGUUCCUGACAGGUCUCUGCUCCCCCUUUAACCUGGAUGAACAUCACCCACGCCUAUUCCCAGGGCCACCAGAAGCUGAAUUUGGAUACAGUGUCUUACAACAUGUUGGGGGUGGACAGCGAUGGAUGCUGGUGGGCGCCCCCUGGGAUGGGCCUUCAGGCGACCGGAGGGGGGACGUUUAUCGCUGCCCUGUAGGGGGGGCCCACAAUGCCCCAUGUGCCAAGGGCCACUUAGGUGACUACCAACUGGGAAAUUCAUCUCAUCCUGCUGUGAAUAUGCACCUGGGGAUGUCUCUGUUAGAGACAGAUGGUGAUGGGGGAUUCAUGGUGAGCUAAGGAAAGGGUGGUGGCAGUGUCUCUGAAGGUCCAUAAAAGAAAAAAGAGAAGUGUGGUAAGGGAAAAUGGUCCGUGUGGAGGGGUCAAGGAGUUAAAAACCCUAGAAAGCAAAAGGUAGGUAAUGUCAGGGAGUAGUCUUCAUGCCUCCUUCAACUGGGAGCAUGUUCUGAGGGUGCCCUCCCAAGCCUGGGAGUAACUAUUUCCCCCAUCCCCAGGCCUGUGCCCCUCUCUGGUCUCGUGCUUGUGGCAGCUCUGUCUUCAGUUCUGGGAUAUGUGCCCGUGUGGAUGCUUCAUUCCAGCCUCAGGGAAGCCUGGCACCCACUGCCCAACGUGAGCCAGAGGAAGGCUGAGUACUUGGUUCCCAGAAGGAGAUACUGGGUGGGAAAAAGAUGGGGCAAAGGGGUAUGAUGCCUGGCAGAGGGCCUGCAUGGCUAUCCUCAUUGCUACCUAAUGUGCUUGCAAAAGCUCCAUGUUUCCUAACAGAUUCAGACUCCUGGCCAGGUGUGGUGGCCCACACCUGUAAUCCCAGCACUUUGGGAGGCCAAGGUGGGCAGAUCACUUGAGGUCAGGAGUUCAAGACCAGCCUGGCCAACAUGGUGAAACCCCAUCUCUACUAAAAAAAAAAAAAUACAAAAAUUAGCUGGGCGCGGUGGUGCAUGCCUGUAAUCUCAUCUACUCGGGAGGCUAAGACAGGAGAAUCUCACUUCAACCCAGGAGGUGGAGGUUGCAGUGAGCCAAAAUUGUGCCACUGCACUCUACCCUGGGUUACAGAGUAAGCCAGACUCCGUCUCAAAAAUAAUAAUAAUUCAGACUCCUUAUUAGGAGUCCAUGAUCUGGCCUGGUGCAGUAGCUCAUGCCUGUAAUCCCAACAUUUUGGGAGGCCAACGCAGGAGGAUUGCUUGAGGUCUGGAGGUUCGAGACCAGCCUGGGCAACAUAGAGAGACCCCAUCUCUACAAAAAU
Molecule: small RNA, 1437 nt
Filed under: Pongo abelii (Sumatran orangutan)
Lineage: Eukaryota; Metazoa; Chordata; Mammalia; Primates; Hominidae
Description: retained intron
Source: RNAcentral